Molecule: ribosomal RNA, 486 nt
Filed under: uncultured bacterium
Lineage: Bacteria
Description: partial 16S ribosomal RNA
Rfam family: Bacterial small subunit ribosomal RNA
Source: RNAcentral
AUUGAACGCUGGCGGAAUGCUUUACACAUGCAAGUCGAACGGCAGCACGGGAGCUUGCUCCUGGUGGCGAGUCGCGAACGGGUGAGUAACAUAUCGGAACGUACCCAGUCGUGGGGGAUAACUAUCCGAAAGGAUAGCUAAUACCGCAUACGUCCUGAGGGAGAAAGCGGGGGAUCGCAAGACCUCGCGCGAUUGGAGCGGCCGAUAUCGGAUUAGCUAGUUGGUGGGGUAAAGGCUCACCAAGGCGACGAUCCGUAGCGGGUCUGAGAGGACGACCCGCCACACUGGAACUGAGACACGGUCCAGACUCCUACGGGAGGCAGCAGUGGGGAAUUUUGGACAAUGGGGGCAACCCUGAUCCAGCCAUUCCGCGUGAGUGAAGAAGGCCUUCGGGUUGUAAAGCUCUUUCAGCAGGAACGAAACGGUCGGCUUUAAUAAAAUCGGCUAAUGACGGUACCUGCAGAAGAAGCACCGGCUAACUACGUG